This 3269-nucleotide long non-coding RNA is filed under the name Panax ginseng (ginseng). RNAcentral describes it as "long non-coding RNA (PGIN_LNC007502)". The record is from RNAcentral. Lineage: Eukaryota; Viridiplantae; Streptophyta; Magnoliopsida; Apiales; Araliaceae.
AUCAACUGAAGCAAUCUGCAAUGUUGAAGUUGCAUUGGUGACACAAAUUGGCGUGCAAAGAAUACCCUUCAGAAGGUUGGCAAGGUUGUGUGGUUUGCGAAAUGAAUCAAACACAUGAGAUUAAAUGAUGUAUGGGCUCGUACAUUCUUUUAACUUGACUGGUCAAAGAGGCUUUCUUGAUUUUCUGUAAGAAACCAUUAGUUUUAGCCUGCGCAGUCUUGACACAUGAUUUCUAGCUAAGACCAUCAUGCAAGGGUGAUCAAGCUAUUGUAUAACAGUAAGCUAGUUGCCUUUCAUUGGUAAAAAAGGUUUCAUUCAAUUUAAUAAAAUUCGAAUGACAUAAUUUUAUCCCCUUUGUCAGGUUAUGCAUGUCAAGUUAAUCAGAAGUUGGUGAGACCUGCUGGUGUUAACAAUUUUUGAAAGCAUGUGAGAUCUUGCCUACCUGAGUCCCUGGUAAAACAUUUGGGUUUCUUGAGAUGACUUUAUACCUGUAGAUUAAUGAGGAAGUUUUGGCCGCUGCUGGGACAAAACUGGGCUUGAUGAUAGUCAUUGUUGAAACAUGACUUGUUGGAAGUCUGGAACCAAGAAAAGAAAAGAAGAAACCCUAAAAAUUAAAGAAAUAGGACUUCUGGGAAUCUGGCUACAAUUCCUAGAUCUUCUAUUUUGAUUACUAGUUUAUUAAGGUUCUCUCUAGUCACUAGUUUUUCCUCUAUAUAUCUUCUUAUUUGUUGUUUGUAUGUUUGAUUCUUUGACAAGCUUUAAAUAUUUCUUGUUGACCUAUAUAUAUAUAGACACACACACACACACACACACAAGUUCUUGUUGGUAGAAGCAACCUUGUACAGUUGGGAUGUGGUUUCAGGAUGUUUGGUUCAUAACCUUCUUAAGAAUCCUAAGGGACUCGGAUUCCUUCUUCUUUGUUUUUUGUUUUUUUUCUUUUCCCUUUUCCUUCCCAUGUUUAAUGCUGCUCCCACUUUGAUAAUAUUUGUGAAGGAUACAAUCUAGAUUUAUAAUCUUUGAGUACGUAUUCGCUGUGCUGGUGUGAAACACAAACCUAGCAGAAGAAACGAAUACAACUUAUUUUAUUUUAUGUUUUGCCUUAAAAUGCAUUGCAUCAGUUUUAUUAUACGGGUCCAUAUAUUGUUUACAUAAUUGUCUCUGGAUGCUAUGGCAGGCCGCAUUGCUGAGCACAAGCAACAUUUUUGCGGAGGCACCUUUAGAACAUAGCAUUGCGCGGUCUUCUUAUGGAAAGCAAAGUAUUAAAGAUGAGAUUAUUUAUCUCUUGCUCUCUUAUGCGAUCUUUUAGUUAAAGAAGCGUCUUCUUAUGGAAAGCAAAGUAUUAAAGAUAAGAUUAUUUAUCUCUUGUUCUCUUAUGCGACGAAGAGUAGGUAUGUAUAUUCAAUAUCAUGGUUGGCUUGAAAUCUCAGUAUCAGAAUGCAGAAGUUUCAACUGCAGUGCAUUCUUUUCCUUGUGUGUUUAUUAAUUUCAGCAAUCCAAAUUUAUUAAUUCUAUGUUCCAAAAUUAAAGAUACUUUUGACUUUCAGAAGUCAAUUUACGAAAUCUUAGAAGUCAAAAUCAAUAUGAAUUUAUUUGAAUAUGGUAAUUAGAAGUACUUUUUGAAUAGUUUACAAAUUCAUAGUUCUUUAAACUAAAGACAAAUUAGUUCGUAUUAAUUUUGAGUUCUAUGAUUUGACAAAUUGACUUCUGAAAGUCAAAUAUGUCUAUAAUUUGGGAAGAUAUCAAAUAACAGUUUCUUAAUUUAGUAUUCGUGUAUUAAAUAAUUUUAUUUUCUUUGUACGUGGACAUACAAUGUAAUCCUAAACAACUUCUUCUAGCUAGUAAAAUUUCUUUUCAAUAACUAAAGUGAUAAAAAUAUAUUUAAAAUAUUUAAUGUUACCAAUCAUGAUUAGAAAGAAACAUAUGACAUACAAUAUAGUAUGGAGGAAUUAAAAAUUAAAAAAGAAGCUGAUACUAUAUAUUUUUACAUAAACUGUAAGAUUUGUUUUACAUUUUGGAUAUAAUAUAAGAAGAUCCAAUUAGUCAUUAAUUUUUCUUAAGUACUUUAAUAUUCUUCCAACGUGACUCCAUAUAUUUGGAAUCAUUAUCCUGCGCAUAGACGCCAAACUUGAAAAAGUGAGAACUUCCCCCUCUACCAGGACCUUCAAACUUAAGAACCCCAUCAAUAUAAACCUGCACUUUGCUGGCGUCUACGUCGUAGAUUACGUUAAGCCUGAACCACCUGUUAAAGAUUUUUGGAACAAGAAUGGGAGCCUUGUAGUAUGAGAGUGCACCAUUGUAUGUUCUAAUCAUUAGCGUUGUUGCAUGGCCGACAGCUCCAAAGAGCUGCAUAACGCACACACCAGAUGUUCCCUGUGGCACAUAUCCGUGUCCUUGGAAUUGCCAGACACCAGAAGAGAAAUCAUAUCCCUGAGAAAUGAGUUAAUUAGAAAUGUAGUUAAGAAAUAUAUACACACACACACACACUAGAGAUACAGUACGUUUUUCUUUUUUAGUUUGAUCUGUAAAAAAAACCUGGCUGAAUACCACAUUGGAAUGGAUAAUUUUUGAAUUUAGUGGAUGGUGUUUAAUUUGUGCAAGGCUAGAUAUAAUUAUAAUUAUAUUAUAUUACCUGUAUACGGAUCUCGGUACGUGGUUUGGUAUUGCUAGAAGGGAAGUGAGGCUUAUCUGUGCUGUAUACCCACAACUUGUGCACUCCAUUGACAAAACUAUAACGCUGAUUUACAGGGACAUUAUAUGGCCUUUGUAUCUCAAAAUUUGAUUGUGUUAAUGGGAGAGAUGUGAAUCCUUGAGUGGGAUCAACUGCAGCUGUGUUCUGAUACAAGAACAGGGAAACAACUAGUGCCAAGUAGUGCACAAAGACUAAUAUUGAAGAAUUCAUUCUUCUUCUUCUUCUGAAUAAUUACAUUUGUGUGGCGCAUGAGUUCAAUAUAUACUCUUCAACAGCAAAAUGCCAAAGAUCAGUCCACUUAUAUAUAUUGUGAGAUCUUUACUUUUUUAUAGUUGAAUGAAUGGACCAAUUCGAUGUCUUAUUUUGGGUAGUUUGCAGGUUUAUAUACGUUAUCAGUUAUAGAGAUGGCUGCUUGCAACGUACGCCUAAUUGCUAAUGAAAUUAAGUGGUGACUUGCAAGUUGAAACCUAAUCUUGUGACGUUUAAUUUGUAUAUGUGAAAUUUUUGAAGGUUGUCAUUUGUUUAAUGAAUUAGGAUCCUCUCCAUUUCAUUGUUUAGUUUUAAAAUGUGACAUCAUAAU